This 114-nucleotide ribosomal RNA is filed under the name Candidatus Pacearchaeota archaeon ex4484_26. Lineage: Archaea; Nanobdellati. The record is from RNAcentral.
GAAGACGGCCAUAGCAAGCAGGAAACACCUGUUCCCAUCUGAACACAGAAGUUAAGCUGCUUGUGUUUUAGGCUUUACUUCUCGAAAGAGAGGGAAACCUAAAAGCUGUCUUCU